GCCGGGCGUGGUGGCGGGUGCCUGUAAUCCCAGUUACUUGGGAGGCUGAGGUAGGAGAAUUGCUUGAACCCAGGAGACAGAGGUUGCAGUGAGCUGAGAUCACGCCACUGCACUCCAGCCUGGGCGACAGAGCGAGACUCUGUCUCAA
Molecule: non-coding RNA, 148 nt
Filed under: Homo sapiens (human)
Lineage: Eukaryota; Metazoa; Chordata; Mammalia; Primates; Hominidae
Source: Rfam by way of RNAcentral